GAGUUUGAUCUUGGCUCAGGAUGAACGCUGGCGGCGUGCCUAAUACAUGCAAGUCGAGCGAACAGACGAGGAGCUUGCUCCUCUGACGUUAGCGGCGGACGGGUGAGUAACACGUGGAUAACCUACCUAUAAGGACUGGGAUAACUUCGGGAAACCGGAGCUAAUACCGGAUAAUAUAUUGAACCGCAUGGUUCAAUAGUGAAAGACGGUUUUGCUGUCACUUAUAGAUGGAUCCGCGCCGCAUUAGCUAGUUGGUAAGGUAACGGCUUACCAAGGCAACGAUGCGUAGCCGACCUGAGAGGGUGAUCGGCCACACUGGAACUGAGACACGGUCCAGACUCCUACGGGAGGCAGCAGUAGGGAAUCUUCCGCAAUGGGCGAAAGCCUGACGGAGCAACGCCGCGUGAGUGAUGAAGGUCUUCGGAUCGUAAAACUCUGUUAUUAGGGAAGAACAAAUGUGUAAGUAACUAUGCACGUCUUGACGGUACCUAAUCAGAAAGCCACGGCUAACUACGUGCCAG
This 521-nucleotide ribosomal RNA is filed under the name uncultured microorganism. RNAcentral describes it as "bacterial SSU rRNA". It matches the Rfam family "Bacterial small subunit ribosomal RNA", at positions 9 to 511 of the family's 1533-position model. The record is from RNAcentral.